GAUGAACGCUGGCGGCGUGCCUAAUACAUGCAAGUCGAGCGAACAGAUGAGGAGCUUGCUCCUCUGGCGUUAGCGGCGGACGGGUGCUUCCCACGUGGAUAACCUACCUGUAAGACUUGGCUACUUUCGGGAAAUCGGAGCUACUAACGGAAAAUAUAUUGAACCGCAUGGAUCCAUCGUGAAAGUCGGUUUUGCGGUCACUUAUAGCCGGAUCCGGGCAGCAUUAGCUAGUUGGUAAGGUAACGGCUUACCAAGGCAACGAUGCGUAGCCGACCUGAGAGGGUGAUCGGCCACACUGGAACUGAGACACGGUCCAGACUCCUACGGGAGGCAGCAGUAGGGAAUCUUCCGCAAAGGGCGAAAGCCUGACGGAGCAACGCCGCGUGAGUGAUGAAGGUCUUCGGAUCGUAAAACUCUGUUAUUAGGGAAGAACAAAUGUGUAAGUAACUAUGCACGUCUUGACGGUACCUAAUCAGAAAGCCACGGCUAACUACGUG
This 497-nucleotide ribosomal RNA is filed under the name uncultured bacterium. RNAcentral's name for it is "partial 16S ribosomal RNA". It matches the Rfam family "Bacterial small subunit ribosomal RNA", at positions 28 to 507 of the family's 1533-position model. The record is from RNAcentral.